RNAcentral lists this ribosomal RNA (1390 nucleotides) under Lacticaseibacillus rhamnosus. Its description in RNAcentral is "partial 23S ribosomal RNA". It matches the Rfam family "Bacterial large subunit ribosomal RNA", at positions 101 to 1509 of the family's 2925-position model. The record is from RNAcentral. Lineage: Bacteria; Bacillati; Bacillota; Bacilli; Lactobacillales; Lactobacillaceae.
GAGAGGGGAUAAAGAGAAAGGGGGAACCCACUAACUAAUGGUUAGUAUCCAUAACUGUUAAGGUUAUGAGAAGGAAGACGCAGUGAACUGAAACAUCUAAGUAGCUGCAGGAAGAGAAAGCAAACGCGAUUGCCUUAGUAGCGGCGAGCGAAACGGCAGGAGGGCAAACCGAAGUGUUUACACUUCGGGGUUGUAGGACUGCGACGUGGGACUUUAAAAGGAUAGAAGAAUUACCUGGGAAGGUAAGCCAAAGAGAGUAAAAGCCUCGUAUUUAAAAUUCUUUUGAGCCCUAGCAGUAUCCUGAGUACGGCGAGACACGUGAAAUCUCGUUGGAAUCUGGGAGGACCAUCUCCCAACCCUAAAUACUCUCUAGUGACCGAUAGUGAACCAGUACCGUGAGGGAAAGGUGAAAAGCACCCCGGGAGGGGAGUGAAAUAGAACCUGAAACCGUGUGCCUACAACAAGUUCGAGCCCGUUAAUGGGUGAGAGCGUGCCUUUUGUAGAAUGAACCGGCGAGUUACGAUAUGAUGCGAGGUUAAGUUGAAGAGACGGAGCCGUAGGGAAACCGAGUCUUAAUAGGGCGAUUUAGUAUCAUGUUGUAGACCCGAAACCAUGUGACCUACCCAUGAGCAGGUUGAAGGUGAGGUAAAACUCACUGGAGGACCGAACCAGGGCACGUUGAAAAGUGCUUGGAUGACUUGUGGGUAGCGGAGAAAUUCCAAACGAACUUGGAGAUAGCUGGUUCUCUCCGAAAUAGCUUUAGGGCUAGCGUCGAUGUUAAGUCUCUUGGAGGUAGAGCACUGUUUGGGUGAGGGGUCCAUCUCGGAUUACCAAUCUCAGAUAAACUCCGAAUGCCAACGAGAUAUCAUCGGCAGUCAGACUGCGAGUGCUAAGAUCCGUAGUCGAAAGGGAAACAGCCCAGACCACCAGCUAAGGUCCCAAAAUAACUGUUAAGUGGAAAAGGAUGUGGGGUUGCACAGACAACUAGGAUGUUAGCUUAGAAGCAGCUAUUCAUUCAAAGAGUGCGUAAUAGCUCACUAGUCGAGUGACCCUGCGCCGAAAAUGUACCGGGGCUAAAACAGUUUACCGAAGCUGUGGAUGACACAAAAGUGUCAUGGUAGGAGAGCGUUCUAUGUGUGAAGAAGGUGUACCGUGAGGAGCGCUGGAACGCAUAGAAGUGAGAAUGCCGGUAUGAGUAGCGAAAGACAGGUGAGAAUCCUGUCCACCGUAAGACUAAGGUUUCCAGGGGAAGGCUCGUCCGCCCUGGGUUAGUCGGGACCUAAGGAGAGACCGAAAGGUGUAUCCGAUGGCCAACAGGUUGAUAUUCCUGUACUAGAGUAUAUCUGUCUCUUAUACACAUCUCUGAGCCCACGAGACGGUGUGACAUAUC